Molecule: long non-coding RNA, 484 nt
Organism: Dioscorea cayenensis subsp. rotundata (Guinea yam)
Lineage: Eukaryota; Viridiplantae; Streptophyta; Magnoliopsida; Dioscoreales; Dioscoreaceae
Exons: 2
Source: RefSeq, a predicted model, not a curated record
UGAUGGUACCUUCGUCUAAGCGAACGAACUAGAAGUGGUUUCUUUCAGUUUAUUCAGGAGAAGAACAUUAUGCAGAGGGGAACUAUCAAUGGUAGGAGUUAGGGAGGAUGCGAUUUGAGACCACGACUUCCGAGGGAGAGGAGGAGGAUGCUGAGGCUGACCCCCGCUUGCCAUGGCAAGGGGGGGAGGAGGAGCAACGGAGAAGACUAGGAGCUUAGGAAGGAAGGGAUGGAAUGUGAACCGACCAUGGUUGGAACCAUCUGCUCUUUGGUCUGAAAACAGAGGAGUCACUGCCAAUCCUGUUGGAUCUGUCUUUCAGACUAAAUGGGAUAACAAGGGUGAACACAAUAUGUACUAUCUUUUGAGAUCCAUGUUCAUUUGCUUUCUCAAAGUAAGGCACACAUAUGUCCCUGAUGAAUAUAUAAUCAAGCCCGCAUAUAUGGUUUACAUUGGAAUCUAUCAAAUACAUACACAUUAAUUAGUC